RNAcentral lists this ribosomal RNA (376 nucleotides) under uncultured organism. Its description in RNAcentral is "partial 16S ribosomal RNA". It matches the Rfam family "Bacterial small subunit ribosomal RNA", at positions 527 to 896 of the family's 1533-position model. The record is from RNAcentral.
GUAGGUGGCAAGCGUUGUCCGGAAUUAUUGGGCGUAAAGCGCGCGCAGGCGGUUCUUUAAGUCUGAUGUGAAAGCCCACGGCUCAACCGUGGAGGGUCAUUGGAAACUGGGGGACUUGAGUACAGAAGAGGAAAGCGGAAUUCCAAGUGUAGCGGUGAAAUGCGUAGAGAUUUGGAGGAACACCAGUGGCGAAGGCGGCUUUCUGGUCUGUAACUGACGCUGAGGCGCGAAAGCGUGGGGAGCGAACAGGAUUAGAUACCCUGGUAGUCCACGCCGUAAACGAUGAGUGCUAAGUGUUAGGGGGUUUACCCGCCCCCCUUAGUGCUGCAGCUAACGCAUUAAGCACUCCGCCUGGGGAGUACGGCCCGCAAGGCUG